Molecule: ribosomal RNA, 376 nt
Filed under: uncultured bacterium
Lineage: Bacteria
Description: bacterial SSU rRNA
Rfam family: Bacterial small subunit ribosomal RNA
Source: RNAcentral
AUAUGUAGGGCGCGAGCGUUGUCCGGAUUUACUGGAUGUAAAGGGUGCGUAGGCGGCUCUGCAAGUCAGGUGUGAAAACCAUCGGCUUAACUGAUGGACUGCAUUUGAAACUGUGGGGCUUGAGUGGAGUAGAGGCAGACGGAAUUCCCGGUGUAGCGGUGAAAUGCGUAGAGAUCGGGAAGAACACCAGUGGCGAAGGCGGUCUGCUGGGCUCUAACUGACGCUGAGGCACGAAAGCAUGGGUAGCAAACAGGAUUAGAUACCCUGGUAGUCCAUGCCGUAAACGAUGAUUACUAGGUGUGGGGAGUCCGACCCUCUCCGUGCCGGAGUUAACACAAUAAGUAAUCCACCUGGGAAGUACGACCGCAAGGUUAAA